UGUUUUUUUUAGCUGAGCUCCCAAUGUUCAGAAUACUUAUCUUUUAAGAAUUUUUUUCCUACCCCUCUUCUUUCUUAUAUUACAGGCUUUCAAGGGGGGCUGCAAAGCUCCUCAUGCUAUGAUAUCUUCUUGUGGAACAAUCCCAGGAAAUCCAUAUCCCAAAGGAAGACCUAGCCGCAUAAAUGGAAUUUUCCCAGGAACUCCUUUGAAAAAAGAUGGUGAAGAAUGUACUAACGAAGGCAAAGGAAUAGCUGCACGAAUUCUUGGGCCAUCCAAACCACCUCCUUCAACAUAUAAUCCACAUAAACCUGUUCCUUAUCCGAUACCUCCAUGCCGACCACAUGCAACUAUUGCACCAAGUGCUUAUAACAAUGCAGGUCUGGUACCAUUAGCGAAUGUCAUAGCUCCACCUCCACCU
RNAcentral lists this long non-coding RNA (418 nucleotides) under Homo sapiens (human). Its description in RNAcentral is "non-protein coding lnc-STOML3-5:1". The record is from RNAcentral. Lineage: Eukaryota; Metazoa; Chordata; Mammalia; Primates; Hominidae.